AUACGUAGGUGGCAAGCGUUGUCCGGAAUUACUGGGUGUAAAGGGAGCGCAGGCGGGGAUGCAAGUUGGAUGUGAAAUACCGCAGCUUAACUGCGGAGCUGCAUCCAAAACUGUAUUUCUUGAGGGAAGUAGAGGGAGGCGGAAUUCCUAGUGUAGCGGUGAAAUGCGUAGAUAUUAGGAGGAACACCAGUGGCGAAGGCGGCCUACUGGGCUUUAACUGACGCUGAGGCUCGAAAGUGUGGGGAGCCAACAGGAUUAGAUACCCUGGUAGUCCACACUGUAAACGAUAAUUGCUAGGUGUGGGGGGACUGACCCCUUCCGUGCCGGAGUAAACACAAUAAGCAAUCCACCUGGGGAGUACGACCGCAAGGUUGAAACUCAAAUGAAUUGACGGGG
This 396-nucleotide ribosomal RNA is filed under the name uncultured bacterium. RNAcentral describes it as "partial 16S ribosomal RNA". It matches the Rfam family "Bacterial small subunit ribosomal RNA", at positions 523 to 918 of the family's 1533-position model. The record is from RNAcentral.